CCCUGACCAGUCCAAUGGUUAGGACUUUGCACUGCCAGUGCAGGGCUGCAGGUUCAAUCCCUGGUCAGGGG
This 71-nucleotide transfer RNA is filed under the name Ovis aries (sheep). It matches the Rfam family "tRNA". Rfam says of the family: Transfer RNA (tRNA) molecules are approximately 80 nucleotides in length. Their secondary structure includes four short double-helical elements and three loops (D, anti-codon, and T loops). Lineage: Eukaryota; Metazoa; Chordata; Mammalia; Artiodactyla; Bovidae. The record is from Rfam by way of RNAcentral.